AUCCAGAUGACGAGUCCCAAAUAGGACGAAACUUACAUGCAU
This is a non-coding RNA of Schistosoma mattheei, 42 nucleotides long. The record is from Rfam. Lineage: Eukaryota; Metazoa; Platyhelminthes; Trematoda; Strigeidida; Schistosomatidae.